CCUCCCUCCCUCUCUUCCUUCUUGUUUCAACACUGGGAUGGAACCCACAGCUUUGCCCAUGACCUGCACCCCGAGCCCACAAGUCAUUCCUUUCAAAUGUAUUUUCCAACUGAAAUACCAGGGAUGGAGAAAUAAUUUUUGCAUACUUAAGAACAAAGAAAAUAUCCACCCUUCCCCUCAAAACCACCAAGAAACAAAAAUCAUCCACACAUCCUGGAUAAACACCCUCCGUGUGUUUAAGUUGAGUAAGAAGGCAGCACUUGUGUAAUUCCCAGGCCCCGAGAAUGGCAAAGGUCUGUUCCUCCUCUGUGCCGACCCUUGGGUGUGGCUGGGACAGCCCAGGGGACAGGCAGACAGGCUGUCCACUGCUGAGGUCCUGGUGUGGCGACACAGGCAGGAGGUGGGACAUCUGCAGGGCGAGGCAGGACCUGGAAGGGAACACAGGGGCUGAGGAGAAGGGACCUGGUCCAGGCUGGACGGCUGAGGAGGCGGCCUCCUAUGUGACAGCAGAGCCAGAGGGAAGGGAGUGGGCCAGGGUCCCGGCAGAGAGAGCCCGAGCCUCGGGAGAACUGUGUACCCUGAGGAGACCCGAAGAGGGAGAUGGAGACUGAAGCACGGAGACAUGCUGGGGCUUCAGAGGCCUCCACACGCUGCCCAGUCCUUGCUCACUGCCCUUCAAUUCAGCCUUGGAUUGUUUUGCCAAGAAUUUUUAAAGGCGCUGCUGUAGGAGAGGGAGUCUCCUGUCAGUCAGAAGGUGUCGGCAAAAUACGUUCAAGGAGAAUGCCUGCAGCUGAGCAGAGAAUUUAACCUAAGCUUCCUGGCAACUCAAGGAAAAGAAGAACACAAGAAAGAAACUGAAUAAAGUAGAACAGAAUGGAAACAACUAGAAAACAAAUAGAGCACAGGCCAAGGUGGCAGGAGGGAGACCAAAUACAGACGACAAUGAGUAUAAAUGGGUUCUUCUCUAAGAAAAAGGAAAAAAUGGAAUCCAGUGAUCAGCUGCUUACAAGUCAGGCCCGUAACAUGGCGAUGGAGACAGCAUACAAACUAAUGCCUCUCAGGAUCUUUGGCUGGGGAGCAGGGUUGGAGUGACAUCCAGCAUGCAGGGGCUGCCUCCUAUGCCAGGCGAACCCUGGGACUGUCACACCUGUGCACUUCAUCUGACUGCCACAAACACAGCUGCCACCUUCAUCCUCUGGUUCUGAGUCACUCUGGUGAGGCAACCUGGGGAGAACUGCG
This 1239-nucleotide long non-coding RNA is filed under the name Heterocephalus glaber (naked mole-rat). RNAcentral's name for it is "lncRNA (ENSHGLG00000045179.1)". Lineage: Eukaryota; Metazoa; Chordata; Mammalia; Rodentia; Bathyergidae. The record is from RNAcentral.